UNCCGGUUGAUCCUGCCGGACCCGACCGCUAUCGGGGUAGGGCUAAGCCAUGCGAGUCGCGCGCCCGGGGGCGCCCGGGAGCGGCGCACGGCUCAGUAACACGUGCCCAACCUACCCUCGGGAGGGGGACACCCCCGGGAAACUGGGGCCAAUCCCCCAUAGGGGAAGGGCGCUGGAAGGCCCCCUCCCCGAAAGGACGGUGGCCGAUCCGCCGCCGCCCGCCCGAGGAUGGGGGCACGGCCCAUCAGGUAGUUGGCGG
This 259-nucleotide ribosomal RNA is filed under the name uncultured prokaryote. RNAcentral's name for it is "partial 16S ribosomal RNA". It matches the Rfam family "Archaeal small subunit ribosomal RNA", at positions 1 to 239 of the family's 1478-position model. The record is from RNAcentral.